Molecule: ribosomal RNA, 465 nt
Filed under: uncultured bacterium
Lineage: Bacteria
Description: partial 16S ribosomal RNA
Rfam family: Bacterial small subunit ribosomal RNA
Source: RNAcentral
GACGAACGCUGGCGGCGUGCUUAACACAUGCAAGUCGAACGGAAAGGCCCUGCUUGCAGGGUACUCGAGUGGCGAACGGGUGAGUAACACGUGGGUGAUCUGCCCUGCACUUCGGGAUAAGCCUGGGAAACUGGGUCUAAUACCGGAUAGGAGCCAUUUUUAGUGUGAUGGUUGGAAAGUUUUUUCGGUGUAGGAUGAGCUCGCGGCCUAUCAGCUUGUUGGUGGGGUAAUGGCCUACCAAGGCGGCGACGGGUAGCCGGCCUGAGAGGGUGGACGGCCACAUUGGGACUGAGAUACGGCCCAGACUCCUACGGGAGGCAGCAGUGGGGAAUAUUGCACAAUGGGCGCAAGCCUGAUGCAGCGACGCCGCGGGGGGGAUGACGGCCUUCGGGUUGUAAACUCCUUCCGCUAGGGACGAAGCUUUUUGUGACGGUACCUAGAUAAGAAGCACCGGCUAACUACGUG